GACGAACGCUGGCGGCGUGCCUAAUACAUGCAAGUUGAGCGCUGAAGGUUGGUACUUGUACCAACUGGAUGAGCAGCGAACGGGUGAGUAACGCGUGGGGAAUCUGCCUUUGAGCGGGGGACAACAUUUGGAAACGAAUGCUAAUACCGCAUAUAAACUUUAAACACAAGUUUUAAGUUUGAAAGAUGCAAUUGCAUCACUCAAAGAUGAUCCCGCGUUGUAUUAGCUAGUUGGUGAGGUAAAGGCUCACCAAGGCGAUGAUACAUAGCCGACCUGAGAGGGUGAUCGGCCACAUUGGGACUGAGACACGGCCCAAACUCCUACGGGAGGCAGCAGUAGGGAAUCUUCGGCAAUGGACGAAAGUCUGACCGAGCAACGCCGCGUGAGUGAAGAAGGGUUUCGGAUCGUAAAACUCUGUUGGUAGAGAAGAACGUUGGUGAGAGUGGAAAGCUCAUCAAGUGACGGUAACUACCCAGAAAGGGACGGCUAACUACGUG
RNAcentral lists this ribosomal RNA (497 nucleotides) under uncultured bacterium. RNAcentral's name for it is "partial 16S ribosomal RNA". It matches the Rfam family "Bacterial small subunit ribosomal RNA", at positions 28 to 507 of the family's 1533-position model. The record is from RNAcentral.